Molecule: long non-coding RNA, 375 nt
Organism: Sander lucioperca (pikeperch)
Lineage: Eukaryota; Metazoa; Chordata; Actinopteri; Perciformes; Percidae
Exons: 2
Source: RefSeq, a predicted model, not a curated record
CGCUGAUGUCUUUUUAUCUCAUAGCAUCACUACGACAUGUGUACGCAUUCUUUGGCCAUGCCAGCCUCACAAUUGUGUCUUCGGUCGAGGAGGAGUGGACAGUGGAGUGGCCGAUCUGUUGAUCGCUGGAGGUCCACCUACAUCCAGCGGUGUCUUUGUCCCGUAUUUAUCGGGAUCGGCUUUUCCGCCGUGUGCCACAUACAGUCCGACACUGGCUGAUGGGAGUCUAGUUGAAUCACAGCUGGAUUCUCUGACUGAAAGCUUGGCGACCCAUCUUUGCAGGGGAGCAGUAAAGCAGGAUGCUGCGCGUACGCGUUUUUGACAGUGCGCGCACCCGACAGGUCACACAUCUUCUGUCCACAAACAUCUGCUUUU